ACGCUCGACACCUACGGGAGCAGCAGUGGGGAAUAUUGCACAAUGGGGGAAACCCUGAUGCAGCGACGCCGCGUGAAGGAAGAAGUAUCUCGGUAUGUAAACCUCUAUCAGCAGGGAAGAAAGUGACGGUACCUGACUAAGAAGCCCCGGCUAACUACGUGCCAGUAGCCGCGGUAAUCUGAGCGGGCUGGCAAGGC
RNAcentral lists this ribosomal RNA (197 nucleotides) under uncultured bacterium. RNAcentral describes it as "partial 16S ribosomal RNA". It matches the Rfam family "Bacterial small subunit ribosomal RNA", at positions 328 to 539 of the family's 1533-position model. The record is from RNAcentral.